UGGAAAAUCCACAAACUGGUUGAAGUGAGGGAGAACAGUCUUCAUGUUGGCCUGGUUAAAAUCCCCAGCAAUGAUGAAAACGCCCUCUGUGUGUGAGGAUUGCAACUCACUGAUGGUCCAGUAGAGAACACUCAUAGCCUCUUUAGUGUUAGCACUGGGGGGCACAUACACAGCAGUGAUGCUAACAACAGUAAACUCCCUGGGCAGGUAGAAUGGUCUGCAGUUAACAGUCAGAAGCUCGAUGUCCGGGGAGCAGUAACUGGCGACAGUCAUGGCAUUUUUACACCAGUUGUUGUUGAUGUAAAUACACAGCCCCCCUCCUCGGGUUUUACCGCUGAGAGCGCUGCUCCUGUCUGCGCGGAAUGUAGCGAGCCCCUCCAGGCUAAUAACGUUGUCCGGUAUGGACGAGUUGAGCCAUGUCUCUGUCAGAAUGAGAGCGCAGCAGUUCCUCAACUCUCUCUUUGAAGACAGUUCCAGUUGCAGAUGGUCUAUUUUGUUGUCCAGAGAGCGGACGUUGGAGAGGAGGAUGGACGGAAGGGGCGAACUGUGGGGGUUAGCGUUUAGCUUAGAUGUUAGUCCACUUCGACAGCCGCGCUUCCGCUGCCGGUCGCACCGCCUUCGCUUGCUCCUCCUCCGACUAGUGCUGCUAGGCGAGUCCGCUGCGCUGUGGGCCGCUGGGUCUUGCCUCCGUAGCACUCCAAGGUCACGUAAACACUCCAGAGUAGUCGUAUUUAUGAGUCCAAAAUCACUUGAUGAUCGUAAUUCCAGCAGACGCUGGCGAUCAUAUGCUAACUUACUGAGUGGAUGCAAAGUUUGUAGUGUUUUAGGCGGCGUAUUUUGCUCAAAUACUCGCAAGUUGUCGAGAGCCCAUGCAGCCGCAGCCAUACAGGGCGCCGCCAUAUUGUCAGCAUAGGUGUGAAUAAA
Xiphophorus hellerii (green swordtail) is the source of this 924-nucleotide long non-coding RNA. RefSeq lists it as uncharacterized. The transcript is spliced from 3 exons. The record is from RefSeq and is a predicted model, not a curated record. Lineage: Eukaryota; Metazoa; Chordata; Actinopteri; Cyprinodontiformes; Poeciliidae.